This 496-nucleotide long non-coding RNA is filed under the name Sinocyclocheilus grahami. RNAcentral describes it as "lncRNA (ENSSGRG00000014127.1)". Lineage: Eukaryota; Metazoa; Chordata; Actinopteri; Cypriniformes; Cyprinidae. The record is from RNAcentral.
UCACCUUUGCAUAUAAUAUUUUUUGACAGGUGAGCCAGGUCAGGUCGGACCAACAGGGCCUCCUGGUGAGAAAGGUCUUAAAGGAUCAGCAGGUGCUCCUGGGCCAGAUGGUGUUAAAGGAAUUCGAGGUAAUUUUAAGGCUAAGUGUUGGGAAAAUAUUAGUCUGUCUUUCUUUUCAAGCAUGCAUUCUUUAAAUUUCUCUUUCAUUUAAAUUAAAGGGGAUCAAGGUCCGAUUGGGUUGCCUGGAGCUCGGGGACCCUCAGGGCCUCCUGGAGAUGCAGGAAUACCAGGUAUAAAUGAAAAGAAAGUUCACACCAUGAAUCACACUAAGAUCAUUUGCACUGUUCAUGCUUUUUAAACAUAAUUGUUAAUAAUGCAAACCGUGUAAAGAAAGUGUUUUUCUGCACAGGUGCACCAGGACUCCAAGGACCACCAGGUUAGAUUUUACUUGUUCUCAGCUGCAUAUAUUAAACAAAACAUAUUUUGCAGUUAUUUU